Molecule: ribosomal RNA, 348 nt
Filed under: uncultured bacterium
Lineage: Bacteria
Description: partial 16S ribosomal RNA
Rfam family: Bacterial small subunit ribosomal RNA
Source: RNAcentral
CCUACGGGAGACAGCAGUGGGGAAUAUUGGGCAAUGGGCGCAAGCCUGACCCAGCAACGCCGCGUGAAGGAAGAAGGCUUUCGGGUUGUAAACGUCGUUUAAGAGGGAAGAGCAGAAGACGGGACCUCUGGAAUAAGCCACGGCUAACGACGUGCCAGCAGCCGCGGUAAUACGUCGGUGGCAAGCGUUGUCCGGAUUUACUGGGUGUAAAGGGCGGGCAGCCGGGAAGACAAGUCAGAUGUGAAAUCCCGCGGCUCAACGUGGGAACUGCCUUUGAAACUGGCAAACUGGAGUGUGUGAGAGUCUAGUGGACUUCCCGGUGUCGCAGUGCCAUCCGUAGAUAUCUGG